This is a long non-coding RNA of Gasterosteus aculeatus aculeatus (three-spined stickleback), 4165 nucleotides long. The record is from Ensembl. NCBI's taxonomy places the organism in Eukaryota, Metazoa, Chordata, Actinopteri, Perciformes, Gasterosteidae.
CAAUCAAAAAAGGUGCAAAAACAGAGAGUGGACUUUCAGAAUAAAACAUGGAAUCAGAUUGAACACGGGUCCACAGAGUAUUUGCAGCCAGCCAACAUUGUAGAAAGUAUAUUUGGUGUCAACAUAAAAACCAUAAUUUCUGGCCUUUUCCACAGAGCAGAACUCCGUCGAGGUGUCGGCCCGCUGUCAGCGAGGUGAAGCCAGAGUGACGGCUUUCAGCAGGGAGAGCGUUUAAAUCCAGGGGACGCCGAGGCGAGUUGAACCACAGUAAUAGACUCAGGUUGCUCACUUUCCAACCAAGCAGAGAGGGAACAGAGAGCAUUCAGCACCACGGACAGAGACCCGGCGAUCAGUAACACCUUCUGCAAUCAGACAUCCGUCGCUCAGAGAUAAAAUAGCCCCCAGGACCUUUCUUCACAUGUAAAAGGAAAUGUGGUGUACAGUUAAAGUCAAACAAUCCCAUAGAGAGCACGAAGCACGAUUCUCUGGAUAAUUGGUGCAAGUUGGCUUCUCUCGCUUUCAUUGUCAAUAAUGAGAGGACGGUUAAUGUGACCCGGAUCACAUGAGAUUCUGUCCAAAUGCUGCCUGUUAAUAUCUCAAACAGCUACUGAAUUAUAAAAACCCCUCUGGCUUUGUAGCACAUCUUCAUUCAUCCCCACAGUGCAGUCGUGGUAUUUCCUGUCAGCCCACCUCCAAAAAGUAGCUUCAGCUCACAUCAAAAGGAAGGAGAGCCCAGGUAGAGUUUGCAUUGAGACUCUGGGAUGUGGGAUCACUGCUCCAAUGUUACGCUGCUGCCUGCGUCAUCUCCCUCCCUCUCAGUGUUUGCUGGUUCCACAGACCUUCCUCGGCUCCACUCAUUACGCGGUGGACUUUGUCGCCCGCCGGCGCGGCUGUUUUGCAUUCGUGCACCGAGAGGCGCUUGUUUAAGAUGCCAGAGUUGUCCGUGCUGUUGACUCGCCGACUGUUGACUGUGUUUGAAAAGAAAUAUCAGAUUCGCACCAAGGAAUCGGGCUGAAACCACGAACUGGACUUACAGACAGUAAUCUACAUAUUAGCACACAAGUCACAUUCAACAUUUUACUGUUACAUUUUGCAGUUUCAAGUAUUUGAGGAACGGUCUUUUUUAGGAAAACCUGUUCAUAAAGCCAUGAUUUUCAUCCACAGACGGUUGCAGUAGAACUGAAUAUUGAAUCCGAAUGAAAACAGGUUCCACUAAGCGUAGAACAAUGAAGGGAAUAUGAAAGAAAGAUACUUUGGGAGUCCCUGCAUUCAGAUGAAGACCGGUCGGGGCUUUCUGGGAGGAAGCGAAUGAAAGAAUCAGAGCCGCCUUCAUGCCUGAUGAGAAAAGCUGGAGGGAAAUCAAGGUUUGGGGCUAUUGAUGGAUUUCUAGGGAGGAGAGAAUAGCAAAGAAUAUGUUGCAGCUGAAGGUUGUCAGAAGCUGAAAGAAGGAACUGAUGGUUCUCAUAAAAGGGAUCCGCAGACGUUGGUACGCGACAGAGAGAGAGACAAUGGCCAUAAAUGGAACAUGAGUGAGAGAGAGAGAGAUUGUAAAAGAGAAUGUAAAAAAACGGCAGCGUUGUAAAAUGCGUGUCUGCAGAGCUCCAUAAAGCGAGAUAUUUGGUUGAUGAAUAUUACCACUAUGUGUUCACACUUUUAUUUACACGCCUAUCAGCCACUUUAAGGAGCGUUCUGCAUCCUCGUAUAGUGUGUGUCUGCUCUGAUCAUCUUGCUUUGGAAUAAAUGUGUGAUGGGUUCAGUCAACAUCGACACGUAUGUACAACAUUGAUACUUAUGUACAAACAUAACGCGCUUAUGUGCACAACACUUAACACUAUAAAGUGUUAAAUGUUGUGAUGCUUCUUUCCUUACUUACUUACAUUCUGGACAAACGUAAUAUGGCCUCAAGUAAGAUGAUAAAGGAAGAGGAAGAAUUAGACAAACAUUGACAGGAAAAGGUCUAAAUGAAUUGAGAGCGGACACGGGGGGUCGUGGGGGGGCUGAACAAUCCUCGCCGGCGGCUACAAAAGCGAUUAUGUGACAGGUGGCGAGGCCUCGACGCAUGACUUGAAUUUGAUUCCAUCGCGGCGGCGCUAUCUCCUCUCUGGCGGCAGUAAUCAUCCCCUCUUUCUUCUCAGCGUGAAUGCCUCGGCGGAGAGGUGACGUGCACUGAAAGGAAAAACUGAAGCUCCACACACUUAAGAAGAGACCGAGAGGGAGAAAGUGAAGCCCCCCCCCCCUCCUCCUCCUCCUCCCUCCGUCGCAAUUGUCUCCACCAAAGCCUCUCAUUAAAAGUGUGUUAGAGGGGGUUUUGUUGAUCGUGGAGACCUGGCAACGUGUUCUUUGGUCUUUUUGCUGACGUCUGAAGGGACCCGCGUGCAGAAGCAGGUCCAAAGCCAAAAGGAUCACCAGCGUUCCCACAACAGAAUCAUCAAUUUGGAAAUCACAAUGAACACACCUGAAAUGUCCUUAAGAUGUUGAAUAGACUCACAUCUGUGAUUCAAAAGCUAGAACACAAAGACGCUCUGCAAGAAAAAGUCACCGUGGGUCAUUGCAGGCUACCGUUCUGAAUCCUACACCAAACCUUCAUCACUUAAAUCACUUAACAGAGAAUAUAGUUUCACAAUAAUUGUGGAAGCAAUAAUCCAACGUCGAUGUAGGACUGAUAUAUGAUCCCAUAUUUCUCUUCCCCUUGCCAAAGUAAGUUUAUCGAGAUCAUCUCCUCCCAACCACCGAUAUAAACCUACAUAGCUUAAGUUCACAAGUUCAUGUUGUGAACUUCUAUCUGUUCUCCAGCCUCCGAUCCUCAGAUUAUGCAAAACGAGAAUCUCUGUAAACAGCAGCUCCCUUUUCAACCUCGGAGGAGCUGCUGUCUUGUUCCCAAUAAGACUUCAGUUCUCACUUCUGCUUCUCCUCACGAUACAACGCACACACACACACACACACACACACACACAUGCCUUCAUUAGUGGGUGUGGAUUGUUCACAUGCCGCCUCAAGCCAAAUGAGGCAGAAGCAAAGCGUAGCACAUCUUGAGAAUUAGACUGUGUCGUUUUCAGGGUGUGCGCGCGUAUGAAGAAACGGCGCGAAGCCUUCGUUAGUGUCACAUCCUUCACGCAGCGAAUACACACCUCCUUCCUUCCCGUCCCGUCUCCAUCCGCAGCACACUCUGUUUAAGGGGGGGGGGGGGUUCUUCUCCUCGGGCUGCGUGAGCCUCCGAGCUGUUUCCCACCGUCGGCCCGUGGGGGAACAUCAGAGGAACUGCAGAUCAGUUUGAUUAGAUUUCCUCUGUUUGUCCCCAUCGUUCCUCCUUUACUCGGCUCAGCGACCGGAUCUGUGGAAUACAAUGAGGUAAAAGAACAAAACUUUAAUGUCUUUGCAUAGAAACGCUUAAAUACCUAAUGAUACAAAACAUAUGUGUGUUUUCUCGACAUGUUCGUAAAACCACUUUGGUUUCACCAGUUCAGAAUCUUUCGAUCUUGGUCUGACUUCUAACAGCGUAACCUAAAAUUGCUUUUAUUUAACUCCAUGACCCCUUUGAGAUUAUUCAUGAACGUGGACUUUGGUUUGGGAUGGCGAGAAAGCAACGUGGCAACUUUAAACCGGCUGGCUGGGAGCAGGUUGAGGGAAGGCGAGGAGGUCAUGACCUCGCUGUCUCACUAUUCCACCACAACAAUCCAAAGCCGCCUUUGUUCCUUCAGCAAUGUUCUUUUCCUUCAGAAAACAGACAACCCAAAAUAACAGAAUUCAAUUAAGUUAAAUCUAAUUUGUUUCUCUUGUCGCUUCGUUUUUUUUACUCUCUUUCCUCGGACUGCAGUAAAUUGUAUUUCCAUUCACAACAGACUCUUAUUUGUUGUAGGAAAACAACAAAGUUGCACACAGGUGGAUGUUGCCCCUUUAGAUAUUUCAAAGUCCUAAAAAUAAUUUAAGUUUAAAGUGACUUAUUUCAUCCAUCCCCACUGAAGUCCUGAUCAAAGCUGAAAUGGUUUUUCUGAGCCGUUCUCAUCCUAUAAAGCCAUCCAUCAACGUCUGGAUCUGUUUUCACCGCCCCGCUCGUUCUCCUUCCACGUUCUCCAUAGAAGUUCUCCCUGGUGGACGGCUGUGACCCGUGACUGAGGGUUAACAACAACCGCACAACCGCUGCGACUCCAUCAGACGCUGUUAAACC